This 86-nucleotide small RNA is filed under the name Pseudocitrobacter faecalis. Its description in RNAcentral is "sroD RNA". It matches the Rfam family "sroD RNA". From Rfam's summary of the family: This family consists of a number of bacterial sroD RNA genes of around 90 bases in length. sroD is found in several Enterobacterial species but its function is unknown. The record is from RNAcentral. Lineage: Bacteria; Pseudomonadati; Pseudomonadota; Gammaproteobacteria; Enterobacterales; Enterobacteriaceae.
UUACGUGACGAAGCCCGUACUAAAGUAGAGAAUAAAGGCUGAGAAAUUUUUAAGUCGCCAGACGCCGGCUAUGCCGGCGUUUUUAU